RNAcentral lists this unclassified non-coding RNA (546 nucleotides) under Triaenophorus nodulosus. Its description in RNAcentral is "partial ITS1". Lineage: Eukaryota; Metazoa; Platyhelminthes; Cestoda; Bothriocephalidea; Triaenophoridae. The record is from RNAcentral.
CGCGUUCCGUUUCGAAUCCUUAUACUGGGGUUGCGGCAGUGGUGGCUGUCUUUUCUCUCGAAAGAGGAGAAGGUGGUUGUUGUUGGCCGUGACUCCAUGUUAUCUAUUGGUUGCUCGCCUUAGUAGCCAUACCACUUACGGAGGGGUGCCUAGCCUGUCGUAAACCCGUCAGGUGUGCUCGCUGUUUGGUCAUAUGCAUGCUCUUGCAUUGAGUACGAUUGUGUUUAAAAGAGCGUUGCGUGUGUUCAAGGGCCAGUCCAUGCCGGGGCGACAGUGCAGUACACAGCAAUGUGUGCAAGGUAUAAGAAUGUUGGCGUGUGAACUCCUCUACAAGGUUUACUCGCUACGCCCCUCCAUGAUUAUUGUUUUUCACUGUGUUGCAGGGGGUUUGCGCUUUACUGUGUUUACCCCUUAGACAAUUGUUUCGUGCUUCCUCGCGAGGGGAUGUGUGAGACAUAGUUCACGCCUUGUUGGUUGGAAACAGCCCAAGUUCGUGUGAGCUUAAUAAGAUUGGCGUUGCUCUCAGGAACAGCGUUGGUCGCUUGU